Molecule: transfer RNA, 74 nt
Filed under: bacterium
Lineage: Bacteria
Description: tRNA-Pro
Rfam family: tRNA
About the family: Transfer RNA (tRNA) molecules are approximately 80 nucleotides in length. Their secondary structure includes four short double-helical elements and three loops (D, anti-codon, and T loops). Further hydrogen bonds mediate the characteristic L-shaped molecular structure. tRNAs have two regions of fundamental functional importance: the anti-codon, which is responsible for specific mRNA codon recognition, and the 3' end, to which the tRNAs corresponding amino acid is attached (by aminoacyl-tRNA synthetases). tRNAs cope with the degeneracy of the genetic code in two manners: having more than one tRNA (with a specific anti-codon) for a particular amino acid; and 'wobble' base-pairing, i.e. permitting non-standard base-pairing at the 3rd anti-codon position.
Source: RNAcentral
CGGGGCAUAGCACAGUUGGCUAGUGCGCUGGGCUGGGGGUCCAGAGGUCGGCAGUUCAAGUCUGCCUGCCCCGA